This 399-nucleotide ribosomal RNA is filed under the name uncultured bacterium. Its description in RNAcentral is "bacterial SSU rRNA". It matches the Rfam family "Bacterial small subunit ribosomal RNA", at positions 30 to 428 of the family's 1533-position model. The record is from RNAcentral.
AUUGAACGCUGGCGGCAUGCCUUACACAUGCAAGUCGAACGGCAGCACGGGAGCAAUCCUGGUGGCGAGUGGCGAACGGGUGAGUAAUAUAUCGGAACGUGCCCAGUCGUGGGGAUAACGUAGCGAAAGUUACGCUAAUACCGCAUACGAUCUACGGAUGAAAGCGGGGGGACUCGCAAGAGCCUCGCGCGAUUGGAGCGGCCGAUAUCAGAUUAGGUAGUUGGUGGGGUAAAGGCUCACCAAGCCAACGAUCUGUAGCUGGUCUGAGAGGACGACCAGCCACACUGGAACUGAGACACGGUCCAGACUCCUACGGGAGGCAGCAGUGGGGAAUUUUGGACAAUGGGCGAAAGCCUGAUCCAGCAAUGCCGCGUGCAGGAAGAAGGCCUUCGGUUGUAA